Molecule: long non-coding RNA, 747 nt
Filed under: Manacus vitellinus (golden-collared manakin)
Lineage: Eukaryota; Metazoa; Chordata; Aves; Passeriformes; Pipridae
Description: lncRNA (ENSMVIG00005014058.1)
Source: RNAcentral
CUCUUCAAAUUAAACCUGAAAGAAGGAAAUAAACUUGCUUAAUUUAUGUAAAUUUGAAGGUUGGCAUGAUGUUAAAGAACUGCCCAGAAAAGGACGUAACAAAGUGAAAGGUCUUGGUGAAAUACUCCAGCUGCUUUACUUUUCACUGUCUGAAGACCUCGUUAUUCAGAUAAUAAGAUAAUAUUCUUUUAAGCAGUGAUACUUGUUGUGUAUGGCAUUGACAAUUGUGGACAUUAUCAAGGAAAAUAUCUCUUAAAACCUUACUUUAGAGGCUACUGUCUCCACUUUAAUGUGUAUUCUGGGUUGUUGGAAGAAUUGAACUGGGACACAUGGACAGCAGCGUGUGAGAGCUUCAAAAAGGUAAGUUCAAACACUGGAGGAUGUUUUGGCUCCUGCAGGUCAGCACACCUCCAUCAUUCCAGCUCUCUUUGGUUCAAAAAGAGAGGGAUUGGGACUGUAACCUCCUGCUCACACGAAGCCUGUGAGAGUCUCCAGGAGCCUCCUCACUCACUCCUCCUGGCAGUAGGACAAGUCUGGCAUUCAAAGGGAAUUGAAAGGCAUUCUGCUUUAGAGAGGGAGAUAAUUCAAGGGCAAGCCUGUGGCAGAAAAUUAAGAGAGAUUGUUUAAGGAAACUAAAUAAUGAAGGUUGUUGGUGAUGAAAUGCACUAUUGAUCACAUUCAAAUCCAACCCACACUGUUAAAAGUCAGAAGGUAUUCUUUUAGUAUACAAUAUGAAACAAAUAUCCC